AUUGAACGCUGGCGGAAUGCUUUACACAUGCAAGUCGAACGGCAGCACGGACUUCGGUCUGGUGGCGAGUGGCGAACGGGUGAGUAAUGUAUCGGAACGUGCCCAGUCGUGGGGGAUAACGUAGUGAAAAUUACGCUAAUACCGCAUACGAUCUAUGGAUGAAAGCGGGGGAUCGCAAGACCUCGCGCGAUUGGAGCAGCCGAUAUCAGAUUAGGUAGUUGGUGGGGUAAAGGCCCACCAAGCCAACGAUCUGUAGCUGGUCUGAGAGGACGACCAGCCACGCUGGAACUGAGACACGGUCCAGACUCCUACGGGAGGCAGCAGUGGGGAAUUUUGGACAAUGGGCGAAAGCCUGAUCCAGCCAUUCCGCGUGCAGGAUGAAGGCCCUCGGGUUGUAAACUGCUUUUGUACAGAACGAAAAGGUUUCUACUAAUACUAGGAGCUCAUGACGGUACUGUAAGAAUAAGCACCGGCUAACUACGUGCCAGCCGCCGCGGUA
Molecule: ribosomal RNA, 499 nt
Filed under: uncultured bacterium
Lineage: Bacteria
Description: partial 16S ribosomal RNA
Rfam family: Bacterial small subunit ribosomal RNA
Source: RNAcentral